GACGAACGCUGGCGGCGUGCUUAACACAUGCAAGUCGAACGGAAAUGCUCUGCUUUUGUGUGGUGCUCGAGUGGCGAACGGGUGAGUAACACGUGAGUAACCUGCCCUUGACUUUGGGAUAACUUCAGGAAACUGGGGCUAAUACCGGACAGGAGCUCCUGCUGCAUGGUGGGGGUUGGAAAGUUUCGGCGGUUGGGGAUGGACUCGCGGGUUAUCAGCUUGUUGGUGGGGUAGCGGCUUACCAAGGUUUUGACGGGUAGCCGGCCUGAGAGGGUGACCGGCCACCUUGGGACUGAGAUACGGCCCAGACUCCUACGGGAGGCAGCAGUGGGGAAUAUUGCAGAAUGGGCGGAAGCCGGAUGCAGCGACGCCGCGUGCGGGAUGACGGCCUUCGGGUUGUAAACCGCUUUCGCCUGUGACGAUGCGUGAGUGACGGUAAUGGGUAAGGAAGCACCGGCUAACUACGUG
RNAcentral lists this ribosomal RNA (468 nucleotides) under uncultured bacterium. RNAcentral describes it as "partial 16S ribosomal RNA". It matches the Rfam family "Bacterial small subunit ribosomal RNA", at positions 28 to 507 of the family's 1533-position model. The record is from RNAcentral.